This 79-nucleotide microRNA precursor is filed under the name Eptesicus fuscus (big brown bat). Its description in RNAcentral is "microRNA efu-mir-9339 precursor". The record is from miRBase by way of RNAcentral. Lineage: Eukaryota; Metazoa; Chordata; Mammalia; Chiroptera; Vespertilionidae.
GUGCUGGGGCCAGAUUGAUGGUUGGCAGCUGGAUCCCAGGGUUGGGCUGCCCAGCCUCUGUGUUCUGCUCAGAAUGCCC